AGCUCUAGAUUCGUCAUGAUUCAACAUUCUUUUAAUCGGCUGAAGAUUCGCUGGAGUGGCAGGCAGAGUGUACAGUUUUGGUGGCGGCUUGGUGGCUCCUGUCCUCUGCGUUGUUGCACUGUCGUCGUCAGUUCCGUUAAGGUCGGUGGGAUCGCUGGUGAAGUGGCACGGGUUCCUCGAGGGUCCUGCUGAUUAGUUCAUCAUAUUUUUUCCUCCUCUUGUUUAAGUUGUCCUUGCAAGCAAUCGCAGCGAGCAUCUUGUGAUACUGUAAACAAAGCAAUACAAUAGUGGCAAAGCUCCCAUGGACGAAUCGCCAUUAAUUAGCCUUCGUGUACCUCACGUCCGUAAAAACUGUCCUGGUUGCUUCAAAUCUGUCCGAAUUUCAGAAGCUGCGAGCAUACACCCAGACUGGUAGCUACACCCAAACACCACGCGCGCGCACAGAUGGUACUUGCCGACAAGAAUGAAUUGUCGGAAACCUAGUAGGCCAGAGCGUCAGGCUCUGAGUCUCAGCGAUGGUCCUGCCUGUGCUGUCCAGAGACGUCGGCCGUCGGUGUGGCCAUCGGGACACCGCCCACGUCUCCCGUUCCAUCCCGGCUCAAGUUGGUCCCAGUGCUGAAAAAUGAAGCAGUACUAGACGCCAAACCCGCCAUGUGUGGCGACCGUGCCUCACGUGUGAUCCCAGCGAGCCAACGUGGAAACCGCGCGCGACUUCCACGAGCACGCCGCCUCGUGGCCUCGUCGACGGCGUCGGCCCAAAUCUGUUUUCACUUUGUUUGCAAGUUAAGCACAAUCUGACCCGCGUUUGCAAAAAUUUCAUCAUUUGACAUUUUUCCUAUCGCAGGGUCGAUGACAGUAGGGUAUAAUUGCCUAUCGGUGCUCUGGAGGUAGGAUAUUUAUCCACGUCAGCGCAGCUAACGGCCCAAUCGCCUUGCCGUCAAUCCUAUCACCGAGGCCCUCGGCGGUAGCCAGUUAUGGUGAUAGGGUUUGGACAGUUCUUCACCGCUCUUGUCGAUCGAGAUGACUUUAUGAUGAGAGAAGUAAGCUCUUUUGAUUCCUCCAAUUAGUUUUUAGUCAAAUAGCCUCUAAUUUUGACGCAUUUUAUGACACUAGGUGAACCCUAGUUCAUCUUUUAGUUUGAACUUUUUUGUAACUAAAUUUAUUUAGAAUGGAUGUGUGUAUCAAUGGAUGGACAUAUGGAUGCCUGGAUGACUGGGUGGAUACAUGGAUAUAUGUUGGAUGUGUGCAUGAAUGAAUGGGUAUAGGUGAACCCUCAUCUUGUAGUAUUGAUGUGAUUGGUAUUGAUAUAUUUAGAAUGGAUAUACAUAUGCACAUUUGGUAUUGCUGUAUUUACAAUGAAUUCAUAUGUAUUAUGCAUAUAUUUAGAAAGAUAAAUGUGUGGAGGCAUAUAUUUAGAAAGAUAAAUGUGUGGAGGCAUAUAUUUAGAACGAUGAAUGAAUGUAGACGAAAUAAUGCUAAUGAAUGAAUGUAGAUCAAAGUUGGACUAGAUGUUUUCUUCAAUUUGGACCAUGUUUUUCAGUUUGUUGUCAAAAAAUUAACUUGAAUUGGCAAUUGUUUUGGCAGGAUCCUUGAUCAAAACAUCGACACUCGGUACACUAUGCUUGACCCUGCCUUCUACAAUUGUCAUCGUGCACGCUAUAUCGAGAAUGGAGUGGUAAUAAGCGAUGCUCAUGAUCAAAUUCUUGCAAAAAAAAUGGCGCACCGUCAACUUGUCAAGUUCCCCUGUGAUGUGUUCGGUGGCGCCAGAAUCUGUGUACCAAUUCGUGUCAAUCCAGUAGGAGUUGGUGAUGAGGUUGGCCUUCUUCUUUUCUUCAUGGUCCUCCUCAUAGCGGUGCCAGCAAAGCCUUUUGUGCCGCUGGCGUGAUACUUGUAGCAUAUUUGGCACUCAGGAUAGUCUCCCUCAUGUUGUUGUUGUUGUUGUUGUUGUUGUUAUUGUUGUUGUUUUUGUUGUUGUUGUUGUUGCUGCUGCUGUUGUGGUGGUUGUCGUUGGCGUUGCUGAUAGCCGCCACCGCUGCGAGUAGGAGAGGGAGAGGCACGAUCACCACGACCGCAUCCUCUGUUCCCUCGCUCGUGACCUCCUCUAGCCCGGGACUACCCGCGCCCUCUAUACACGACGUUUGUAGAUGAGCGGAAACCGAAAGGUCCAUCGCCCAACAUCUCCAUUCUCCGGUCGAACGCAGAAAUCUGCGAGAAAUGAUCAUCAGCGGUGAUGGAGUUAUUGAUGGUGCCGACUGCUGCAACGACGGGAUCGUAAUCCCGAUCGAGCCCGGCGAGGAUGUAGUCAGCCAUCUCGCCAUCUCUCACUGGACAACCAGCCGCUGCAAGCUCGUCUCCAAGACUCUUCAUCUUGGCGAUGAAGGAGUUGCUUGACAUGUUGCCCUUCUUGGUGUUGGAGAUGGCUAUCCUCAGAUUUGUUAUCCGAGAUUGAGAGUCCACAGCGAAUAGUAUGGUAAGAGCACCUACAGCCAUACCCCUCAAACACGUCUCAAAAAACCGGGCAGGCAGGCCGGUCACUGACCGAUGACAAAAAAUUGACACAGCCGGAGCUCUCAAACCACGGACAAACGCCCAGGCUGACCGGCACCCCUCAUAUCCAGCCCAAAUAUAGGGCGGAUAUGAGGCGGCCCGGGCGCGUCUGCCAUGUUGUUGGGCCUCCAAGCGCAGAGUUUUGUAGGACAGUAGCAAAUUCCCCUCAAGUGGAUGACCUAAGGUUUAUCAAUCCGUGGGAGGCGUAGGAUGAAGAUGGUCUCUCUCAAACAACCCUGCAACCAAAUAACAAAGAGUCUCUUGUGUCCCCAACACACCCAAUACAAUGGUAAAUUGUAUAGGUGCAUUAGUUCGGCGAAGAGAUGGUGAUACAAGUGCAAUAUGGAUGGUAGAUAUAGGUUUUUGUAAUCUAAAAAUAUAAAAACAAUAAGGUAGCAAGUAACAAAAGUGAGCGAAAAUGGUAUUGCAAUGCUUGGAAACAAGGCCUAGGGUUCAUACUUUCACUAGUGCAAGUUCUCUCAACAAUGAUAACAUAAUUAGAUCAUAUAACAAUCCCUCAACGUGCGACAAAGAAUCACUCCAAAGUCACUAAUAGCGGAAAACAAACAAAGAGAUUAUUGUAGGGUACGAAACCACCUCAAAGUUAUUCUUUCUGAUCGAUCUAUUGGGUUAUUCCGAUAAGUGCCACAAACAGGCCUAGAGUUUGUACUGAAAUAACACCUUAAGAUACACAUCAACCAAAACCCUAAUGUUACCUAGGCACUCCAUUAUCACCAGGAGUACUCGCGAGUUUGAUUAUACGAUAUGCAUCACACAAUCUCAGAUUCAUCUAUUCAAACCAACGCAAAGAACUUCAAAGAGUGCCCCAAAGAUUCUAUCGGAGAGUCAAGACAAAAACGUGUGCCAACCCCUAUGCAUAAGUUCACAAGGUCACGGAACCCGCAAGUUGAUCACCAAAAAAUACAUCAAGUGGUUCACGUGAAUAUCCCAUUGUCACCACAGAUAUUCAUAUGCAAGACAUACAUCAAGUGUUCUCAAAUCCUUAGAGACUGAAUUCAAUAAGAUAACUUCAAAGGGAAAACUCAAUUCAUCACAAGAAGGUAGAGGGGGAGAAACACCAUAUGAUCCAACUAUAAUAGCAAAGCUCGUGGUACAUCAAGAUUGUGCCAAAUCAAGAACACGAGAGAGAGAGAGAGAGAGAGAGAGAGAGAGAGGGAUCAAACACAUAGCUACUGGUACAUACCCUCAUCCCCGAGGGUGAACUACUCCCUCCUCGUCAUGGAGACUGCCCAGAUGAUGAAGAUGGCCACCGGUGAUAGUUUUCCCCUCCGGCAGGGUGCCGGAACAGGGACCCGAUUGGUUUUUGGUGGCUACAGCGGCUUUCAGCGGCGGGACUCCCGAUCUAGGUUUAUUUCUAGGGGUUUCUAUAUUUAUAGGAUUUUUUAGCGUCAAAAGUCAGGGGGGUCCAUGAGGAUCCCANNNNNNNNNNNNNNNNNNNNNNNNNNNNNNNNNNNNNNNNNNNNNNNNNNNNNNNNNNNNNNNNNNNNNNNNNNNNNNNNNNNNNNNNNNNNNNNNNNNNNNNNNNNNNNNNNNNNNNNNNNNNNNNNNNNNNNNNNNNNNNNNNNNNNNNNNNNNNNNNNNNNNNNNNNNNNNNNNNNNNNNNNNNNNNNNNNNNNNNNNNNNNNNNNNNNNNNNNNNNNNNNNNNNNNNNNNNNNNNNNNNNNNNNNNNNNNNNNNNNNNNNNNNNNNNNNNNNNNNNNNNNNNUUUUGUUUCAAGGGCUUCUUCUGGUCCAUCAAAAAUCACCGUAAAUUUUCAGGUCAUUUGGACUCCGUUUGGUAUUCCUUUUCUGUAAAACUCAAAACAAGGAAAAAACAUAAACUCGCACUCGGCUCUAGGUUAAUAGGUUAGUCCCAAAAAUAAUAUAAAAUAGCAUAUAAAUGCAUAUAAAACAUCCAAGAUGGAUAAUAUAAUUGCAUGGAAUAAUAAAAAAUUAUAGAUACGUUGGAGACAUAUCAAGCAUCCCCAAGCUUAAUUCCUGCUCGUCCCCGAGUAGGUAAAUGAUAAAAAUAGAAUUUUUGAUGUGGAAUGCUACCUAACAUAUUUAUCAAUGUAAUCUUCUCUAUUGUGGCAAGAAUAUUCAGAUCCAUAAGAUUCAAAAUAAAAGUUUAAUAUUGACAUAAAAACAAUAAUACUGCAAGCAUACUAAUAAAGCAAUUAUGUCUUCUCAAAAUAACAUGGCCAAAGAAAGUUAUCCCUACAAAAUCAUAUAGUCUGGCUAUGCUCCAUCUUCAUCACACGAAGUAUUAAAUCAUGCACAACCCCGAUGACAAGCCAAGCAAUUGUUUCAUACUUUUGAUAUGUUCAAACCUUUUCAACUUUCACGCAAUACAUGAGCGUGAGCUAUGGACAUAACACUAUAGGUGGAGUAGAAUAUGGUCGUUGUGGAGAAGACAAAAAGAAGGACAUAGUCUCACAUCAACUAGGCGUAUCAACGGGCUAUGGAGAUGCCCAUCAAUAGAUAUCAAUGUGAGUGAGUAGGGAUUGUCAUGCAAUGGAUGCACUAGAGCUAUAAGUUUAUGAAAGCUCAAAAGAAAACUAAGGCCCAGUUCUUUUCAGGCAAGAUUCUACAGAAUCAGGAUUCUGAAAAAUUCUCCCAGAAUCAGCUUCUUCCAGAAUCCGUCGUCGAGUUCUUUUCAGAGAUUGUAGUUUGAGAUUCUAGAACCUAUUGUGUGUUGAAAUGUUUGUACUACCCAUAGACAGAAUUUGUUUGAUGAAAUGUUAACACUUUGUUGUUUCUAACAGUAACGAAAGUGAAUUAAGAAUGCCAUAAAAAGUACUAAAUAUUACAAUAGAUUUAAAGUUUUUUUCAUUACAGAAAGUCCAUAACCGUGAGUGUCGGCAUCGAACUUUGAGGGACGGGGCGGACUGAGGGGCGAGGAGGAGCUGAGGAGGGAAGCUGGCCGGCGGGGGCGGCGACGACUUGGCCUGGCCGGCGGCGGCGCGUCAACCCUAGCUGCUGCCGCGAAGCUGACGGGGCGGGGCGAACUGCAGGGCGGGAAGGGUGGGGCGGACCGGGCGGGGGCAGCUGGCCGGCGGGGGCAGGGGCGGCCUGGCCAGCGAGGGAGGGGGCGGCCUGGCUGGGUGCGGGCUAGAUGGCGGGGGCAGGGGCGGCUUGAAGCUCAGCUGCUCCGCUGCCCCGAUGCGGUGCGGGAACUGGGACACGAGCGAGUGGUCGGUUGCGUCCGCUCGUUUUCGGGGUCUUGGGCUGGACUGCGGGGUGGCAUUUUGACCGUAAAUACGUGAUACAAUAGGGGUACAUCUAUACUUCAAAACGUUUUCUUUGGUGGGACUUGCCAGAAUCUUGAGAUUGUGGGAGAAACCAGGUAUAUUGGGAUUUUGGAAUUGCACUAGGAUUCUGGAUAAUCCGGUUGAGAUUUUGGAAGUUCAAUCGAGUUCUUUUCGCUCGGGAUUUUCGGGACCAAGAUUCUCCAUAAUCUGGCCAAAAGAACUGGGCCUAAGUGGGUGUGCAUCCAACUCGCUUGAUCACGAAGACCUAGGGCAAUUUAAGGAAGCCCAUCAUUGGAAUUUACAAACCAAGUUCUAUAAUGAAAAGUUCCCACUAGUAUAUGAAAGUGACAACAUAGGAGACUCUCUAUCAUGAAUAUCAUGGUGCUACUUUGAAGCACAAGUGUGGUAAAAGGAUAGUAACAUUGCCCCUUCUCUAUUUUCUCUCUUUUUUGUUUUUUGGCUCUCUCCUUUUUAGGACUCUUUUAUUAUUAUUAUAAUUUUUUUCGUUCGGAGUCUCAUCCCGACUUGUGGGGGAAUCAUAGUCUCCUUCAUCCUUUCCUCACUGGGAGAAUGCUCUAAUAAUGAAGAUCAUCACACUUUUAUUUACUUACAGCUCAACAAUUACAACUCGAUACUUAGAACAAAAUAUGACUCUAUAUGAAUGCCUCUGGCGGUGUACCGGGAUGUGCAAUGAGUGACAUGUAUGAAAGAAUUAUGAAAGGUGGCUUUGCCACAAAUACAAUGUCAACUACAUGAUCAUGCAAAGUAAUAUGACAAUGAUGAAGCGUGUCAUAAUAAAUGGAACAGUGGAAAGUUGCAUGGCAAUAUAUCUCGGAAUGGCUAUGGAAAUGCCAUAAUAGGUAGGUAUGGUGGCUGUUUUGAGGAAGGUAUAUGGUGGGUGUAUGGUACCGGCGAAAGUUGCACGGUACUAGAGAGGCUGGCAAUGGUGGAAGGGUGAGAGUGCGUAUAACCCAUGGACUCAACAUUAGUCAUAAAGAACUCACAUACUUAUUGAAAAAAAUCUAUUAGUCAUCGAAACAAAGUACUACACGCAUGCUCCUAGGGGGAUAGAUUGGUAGGAAAAGACCAUCGCUCGUCCCCGACUGCCACUCAUAAGGAAGACAAUCAGUAAAUAAAUCAUGCUCCGACUUCAUCACAUAACAGUUCACCAUACGUGCAUGCUACCGGAAUCACAAGCUUUAACACAAGCAUUUCUACAAUCCACAAUUACUCACUAGCAUGACUCUAAUAUCACCAUCUUUAUAUCUCAAAACAAUUGUAAGGAAUCAAACUUCUCACAGUAUUCAAUGCGCUUCAUAUGAAAGUUUUUAUUAUAUCCCUCUUGGAUGCCCAUCAUAUUAGGACUAAAUUCAUAACCAAAUCAAAUUACCAUGCUGUUUAAGACUCUCAAAAUAAUAUAAGUGAAGCAUGAGAGUUCAUCAUUUUCUUCAAAAUAAAACCAUCGUCGUGCUCUAAAAAGAUAUAAGUGAAGCACUAGAGCAAAUGACAAACUAGUCCAAAAGAUAUAAGUGAAGAUCAAUGAGUAGUCGAAUAAUUAUGUAACUAUGUGAAGACUCUCUAACAUUUAAGAAUUCCAGAUCUUGGGAUAUUAUUCAAACAGCAAGCAAAACAAAAUAAAAUGACAUUGCGAGGAUAGCACAUAUCAUGUGAAGAAGCAAAAACUUAGGCUCAACCAAAACUGACCGAUAGUUGUUGAAGAAGAAAUGUGGGAUGCCAACCGGGGCAUCCAAGCUUCUAUGCUUGAGACUUCUUGAAAUAUUAAUUAGGGAUGCCUUGGGCAUCCCCAAGCUUGAGCUUUUGUGUCUCCUUAAUUCCUCUCAUAUCAUAGUUUCCCUAAAUCUUAAAAACUUCAUCCACACAAAACUCAACAAGAACUCGUGAGAUAAGUUAGUAUAAAUCAAUGCAAAACCUUAUCAUUUUCUACUGUAGAAUAUCACUAAAAUUAUUAUUUGACAUUGCCUACUAAAUGUAUCUGCAUUUUUAAUACACCUAUGCUCAAAUAGAAUCAUUAAGCACGCAAACAUACGCAAACAAUGUAAACAUAACAACAAUAUGUCUAAACAGAACAUUCUCUAAAGAAUGCGAGAGGAAUCAUACUUCCCUGAAACCAAAAAUUUCUGGAAAAUUACCACACUGUAGAAAAUUUGUUUUUACUAAUUGUGUAAAAAUUUCAAGAUUUUAUCAUGUUUUGACUAUUCACCAUUAUUCAAAACCUAACAGCAAACUUUCUAUUUUCAAACAGCAACAUAUAGACUUGUAAAAUAAGCAUGGUAAAGGCUAUAUUGACCUUUUUAUUGAACUAAAAGAUAUAAAACACGUCUCUUAAUAACAGCAAGCAAAUAUAAACAAAAAAAUGAUGCUCCAAGCAAAACACAUAUCAUGUGGUGAAUAAAAAUAUAGCUCCAAGUAAGGUUAACGGUGAACGAAGAAAAAGAGGGGAUGCCAUCCGUGGCAUCCCCAAGCUUAGGCUCUCGGUUGUCUUUGAAUAUUACCUUGGGGUGCCUUGGGAAACCCCAAGCUUAGGCUCUUGUCACUCCUUAUUCCGUAGUCCAUUGAAACUUUACCCAAAACUUGAAAACUUCACAACAGAAAACUCAACAGAAAACUCGUAAGCUCCGUUAGUAUAAGAAAAUAAAAUCAUCACUUUUGGUACUGUUGUGAACUCAUUCUAAAUUCAUAUUGGUGUUAUAUAUAAUAUAUUACAACUUCUCCAUGGUUCAUACCCUCCGAUACUACUCAUAGAUUCAUCAAAUUAAGCACACAACACAUAGAAAACAGAAUCUAUUUAAAACAGAACAGUCUGUAGUAAUCAGGAAACUAAGUAUACUUCUUUAACUCCAAAACUUAUGAAAAAUUAGGACAACUUAGAAAAUGUGUAUAUCAAUCAUGUGUCAAAAAUUCAGAUCAAAAUCACUUUCCAGUGAAUUUUCAAAAUUCCUGGACUGGGAGCAAAAGUUUUUGUUUUUGCACAGAAUCAAGUCAACUAUCAUCCACACUAUCCCAAAGGCUUUACUUGGCACUUUAUUGAAACAAAAGCUAUAAAACAUGAUUAAUACAGUAGCCUAAUCAUGUGAAUACACAAAAAUAGAAGGGGUAAAUAUUGGGUUGUCUCCCAACAAGCCAUUUUUAAUGCCUUUUUAGCUAGGCAUGAUGAUUUCAAUGAUGCUCACAUUAAAGAUGAGAAUUGUAACAUAAUGGGAGCAUCAUGAAGCAUAUGACUAGCACAUUUAAGUCUAACCCACUUCCUAUGCAUAGGGAUUUUUUGAGCAAACAACUUAUGAGAACAAGAAUCAACUAGCAUAGGAAGGUAAAGCAAGCAUAACUUCAAAACUUUAAGCACAUAGAGAGGAAACUUGAUAUUAUUGCAAUAUGUAAAAGCAUAUGUUCCCCUCUAAUAGUAAUUUUCAGUAGCAUCAUCAAUGAAUUCAACAAUAUAACUAUCCAACAAAUCAUUAUUUUCAUGAUGCACAAGCAUAGAAAUUGUAUUACUCUCCACAUAAGCAAUUUUCUUCUCAUGAAUAGUAGUGGGAGCAAACUCAACAAAAUAACUAUCAUGUGAGGCAUGAUCCAAUUGAAAAUUAAAAUCAAGAUGACAAGUUUCAUCGUUAUCAUUAUUCUUUAUAGCAUACAUGUCAUCACAAUAAUCAUCAUAGAUAGCAACUUUGUUCUCAUAAUCAAUUGGAACCUCUUCUGACAUAGUGGAUUCAUCACUAACACUACAAAAAAUACACUUCCGUGAUGAUACGUGUUUGUCACAGUAGUUCACGUUUUUUGUCAUGCAUGUACGUCCAUGACGAUUUUAUGACAGAAUCAAUAUAGUCAUACCUGUGUUGUCGUAGAAGUGUUCCAUGACAUUACCAAAAUUAUCAUCACAGAAGUGUCCACUUCCAUGACGAUAAAUCGUGUGUCAUAGAAGUGCUUUUGUCAAGGGUGACCGACACGUGGCAUCCACUGUAACGGAACGCGGUUAAGCUAUCGGGUCCGGUUUUCGAUCCGAUAACCCGUUAACAGCCCCGACCAAUGGGGAUUUUCCACGUGUAAAAUUGUCAUUGGCUUGAGGAAACACGUCUCGGCUCACCGUUGGGACAGAUGUCAUCCACUCAUUGGACCCAAGGCGCCUAUGAUACGUCAACACGUGGCGCGGCCCAACAGAGGCCCAUUCCUGUGAAAAAGGUCAACACGCUUGAAUUGGUCACAAGGUGGCGGGCCGGCCCUUGGAAAGCCAGUUAACGGCAUGUUCGCUUAUAGCCCAUUUACAACCCUCUAACCCAGGGCCUGUUACGACCUGUCCGAAUUAGGCCCAGUAGCGUCAUCUGGACCGUCCAAUAUGAUUCCAACCCGUUUUAACUUCCGGCCCAUGUAUGGCCCAUGACGUCUUUCGGCCCAUAUGAGGCCCUUUGUAAUUCUUGGCCCAUUAACGACCCGUGGUGAAACUGGCCUGUAAUGAACAAUGUAUCACUUUAUACCCAUCAAUGACCCAUUAUUCCGUUGAGCCGUUUCCAGCCCAUGUUAUCUUUCGGCCUUCUCAGGGCCCAUUUAUUCGUGGGCUCAUUUCCAUCAUUCGGUUACUUACGGCCUGUUACUGUCAUUUUCUGCUUGUGGGCCAAAUUCAGCGCGUGGUUACAGUCGGCCCGUUUGUGGCCCGUUAAUACGUUGGACCGUUUUCAUGUAAAAAAACCAUUGGGCUAUUUUCAUACAGUUAUCAAAUACGACCUAUUAACGGCCCGUUAUGGUCCACGAAUAGUACGGCCCAUGAUUGGUGAAAUGAUGAUACGGCCCGUCGAAGGCCCAUGGAUCCUACGACCCAUAAAAGGCCCAUGGAUCGUAUGGCCCGUAGAAGGCCCAUGGAUCGUACGACCCAUAUAUAGAAGGCCCAUGGAUCCUACGACCCAUAGAAGGCCCAUGGAUCGUAUGGCCCAUAUAGAAGGCCAAUGGAUCCUACAGCCCGUAGAAGGCCCAUGGAUCAUACGGCCCGCAUGAGGCCCAUGGUUACAACAGUCCUUGUGUUGCCAUGAUUAUUUUGGCCUAGUUUCCAAAAGUAGGUUAUUGUGGCCAUUAGAACAACACAGAAAAAGAACUAUAGUGACUACAAGCAAACAACUAAACAAGACAAUAAGGAAAUAAAUAAGAAAGCAAUUAACGCUAGCCUAUUACCGCUAUUACACAUAUUACAUCUACUGGGCAUCAAAGUUCUCCACCAGUGCAAAUAUAGGGAACAAAGCAUCAUAUUACAUACACCGGCCGUCAAAAUUAGCCACCAGUGCAAAUAAAUGCGGCAGCAAAACAAGAGCAUAACUGAAACAACUUCAGAAGAGCUCAAGAAACAUUAUCUUGGGUAUCCACCAUGCUGGAAAUAAGCUUAUCAAGGUUAUUAGCUUUGUCCUGUUUGGCACUAAAAUCCUCCAACGCUUGCUGUUGCACCAGAAAGUAUGCAUCUGGAUGCUCCAGGGACUUCCGCAGUCCUUCCGCUUCUUGUCGCAGAACAACUAAUCGAUGUCUUUCAGCUUGUAUUGAGACUCAAGAAACCGAACUAAUUCAGACAGUGAGUUUGAAUAGCUUGUGCAAGCGGUAGUGGCCAGUAACUCCAACACUAAACCAAGACAGGACUUUGGGGUUGUCUCACUGUGUUCAAGGUAGUCUUCCUUAGCUGUUUUAUCAGUUUUGUUGGAGACCAACAAGGAUGUCUCACAAUCCUGAACCUUAUCUGCAUUACUUCCUUUACCAUUGCUUAAUAAGGCACUCUUCCCCAAUAUUCUAUCAGCAUUCUAAAAUAAGAAACAAGCAGACACAUAACAGAUUUAGCAUGUACUAGUAUAUGAAACUCAUUUCGGUGAACUAGUUCAUUAGUAAGGUGGACAGGAUUAAGCUACCAAGUCUUCUAUUGCCAAGUACAAGUACAUAACAAAAGCAUCAAACAAACAUAUAUCUAUGUCCUAUGGUCACUGCAUUGUCUUGACAAAUCAAAAUAGAGACACGGUUCAAAUCAUAUCAGUUCAAGACACAGCAGCAGUGAAAGAAUACAAAGCGUGGGAAACUACACGGCAUAACAAGAUUUCAGAUGGGUACCACGGGUGUGCAUGUACAAAAACACUAUUGGCUCUGUUGUGAUGCUAGUAAUGUGCAUGAUAUGAGAAGUCAACUGUAUACACAAUUGAAUUGAAAUCAACAGAGCUAUUGAUAAGAGCAAACCUGUUAAAGAAACAUGUGUGAACAUACCUGCUAUGCCAUUGGAGUUUCGAUUGGAUCGUUCAAUUUAAAAAUAAGUUUGUAUGAGUAAAUACAGUGAUACAAGAGCAAAACAGUAUGCACGAUAUCAAUCAUAGUUAAAAAAGCGCGCCCAAGCAAGCGCUUAAGCGCGCCUAGGCUCUAGGCGUUGGCAAAACGCAUUGAGAUAACUACGCUGAAUCUGUGCAUAACUGCGCAUAAGCAUGCACUUUGGUCAGUAAAGCGCAAGAUGGUCGCAAAACGCACAAUUAACGCCUAGCGCUUUUUUGAACUAUGAUAGCAAUGGAAUCUUAAAUUAGAACAGUUGUUCUUCAGGUUUAGGCACUUGUUCUACAUGAACAGAGUAUAGUAAGACGCAAGAGUAUAGUACUUAAAAAUAGAAAAUGAGCUCAUAGACAUUACCACAUUCUUGGUUGGGAACAGUACAGAACAAAGCGUUCCCAGUCAUCAUCCAGUAAAUGUGUCUCAGGAGAAUGUAAGGGAAUUUGAUGAGUUUCUUUGCCGGUGAAGUACGUUUUCUUCAGGUAAUUACGAUACUACCACCAAGCAUUCUUGAAGAUAGCAGAGGUAUUAGCACAGGUUACAUCAUCCUGAGUUUCCAAAUCGGUCCUUCUCUAUAGAGAAAAAUGGGAAAAUUUGCUAUAUUAUAACCAUCAUGGAGGUAGGAUGUAUGGGACAAAGCAAAGUAAUUGCCAUGAAUAACAUUACUUACACAUAACUCCUGGACAAACACCUGCAGCUGGCAUUUUCCUUCAUCUUCAGUAUAAUAUUUCCAAGAUGGAAAGAUACACACAUUCGAUUUAACAACAUCAGAUGCGAUAGAUGCUAAACUACGACUAGCUGGUUGUGCUUCCUCCACAGGAAUAAGCGUACUAACUGGUGGAGUUGGGGUUCACCAUGGUAGUACUGGCCCUUUGGGCACUGGGGCUUCCUUACUAACUGCUCUUGUUUGGGAGCUCUGUGGUGGAGAUGGUGUUGUGUCAACAGGAACUGGGUUACUAUCUGCUGGGUUUGGGGUUAGAUUGGGUGAAGCUAGUUCUCUGUCCAUCACAGUACGGGUACAAUCUGCGAGAGUUUGGGUUAUGUGUGGUAGGGCUAGUUCUUGUGCAUGUACAACCGGGGUGCUAUCUCCACCAAGAGGUAGCACUGUUUUAUUUGAAGACCGUGUUUUUAGUCCGCUAGAUACUGGCAUCACCCGUUCCAAUUCAAAUGGCUAAUAAACAGGAAACAUAGUUGGAUGUACAUACAUUGUAUGAGAUACAGAUGUAGUAGAUAGUGUGGAAAAAAGAGGGCAUGAAAUAGUUGACAUGUAUAUUGUUUAACUAAAACGGAUAGCAUGACAUAAUUUCACAUAUAUGAUGUCUAUCUAAACUGGAUAGCAUGGCAUAACAUAAUUCAAAGACAUGGUGAAUAACUAAACAGGAUCGCAUGAAAUAAUUCACAAACAUGUUAUCUAAGUAAUCAGGAUCACAUCAUUUAAUUCACGUAUGUGAUUUAUAUGCUAAACAGAGGGCUUUUGAUAUGAUGUCUGAACUAAGAACAUGGUGUUGAAUAUUGUCUAUAUGAUGUCUAAACUAUGCAAUGCAAGACACCAUAUGCAUGAUAUGAGCAGUAUAACCGUGCCAAGUUAGAGCAUACACCUCGGUGGGGCAAUAGGACUGGUCAUCUGUCUCUGAAUCCAUCUUUGAGGAGCUAUAGAGACCCAAUAAGAUAUCUACUUCGACAGGUAGCACUGUCUGCUCUGAAGGCCUUGUUUUCACUCCAGAUUUUUCAUCUCCCACCCAAAUGGCUGAUUCAUAGGAAGAGUAGUUUAAUGUACAAAAUUGUUGACAAAUGGAAAUGUAAUGAAGAAAAGGAUGGGCAAGAUAUCAUUGAAAUAUAUGAUGCCUGGUUAAACAGGAUGGCAUUGCACAUUUCACAUAUAUUUUGGCUGGCUAAAAGACAUGAGACUGCAUAAUUCCCAUAUAUGAUAUAGACACUAAACAAGUGGCAUUACAGAACAUGUCUAAACUAAGCAGAUGACAUAUAUGAUGUCAAAAGUAGGCACUGCAAGGCAACAUAUGCAUGAUAUGACUAACAUCAUCAUGCCAAGGUAGAGCAAACACCUUGGGGUAAAUAGGAGUGGUCAGCGGCGUCUGAAUCCACCUAAGAAUAGAUAUCUUCCUCUGGAUUACAAUCUGGAGAGGGGUGGGGAGGGUUUGCCAUUGAAACCACCAUGGAGCGAUGUCUGCAUGACGUUGUAUUGCCGCGCAAAACUCUUCUCUUUUUCUCUACAUGUUCAGCAUGAUUGUGUACAAUAUCUGACAUGCAUACAAAAAAAAUAUGGUGAGAUUAUGUACGGAGAGCAUGCAGAAAUCUAGAGUGAUGGUAACAACUAGUGGAUGGAUCCAAAAAUAAUGAUAGCAGGCCGAUGAUUGCUUUAAUUUAAUAAAAAUACAGAUGAUGAUUGCUUUACUAUUUGUUUCCCACCCAAGAUGAAGAAUAUAUGCAUACCCUAGGUGAAUCAGAUAUUAGACAGAUAUACUAUUCAUUGCUGCCUCAAUAUGUGCCCCACAACUAAUUUAGAACUCAAGUUUGAACAUUAGUUUGGACCUGACUUGGAGUCCAAGAGGUGAACAGGACGAUAAAGUAGCAGGUAAGUUUAAGCAAUGCAUAACAUAAGCAGAAACAAAAGAGUGCGACCUCUCUUGUGGACCCAUGUACUCCUCAGGUUCAUCUGCUGAGUCGAUGACGGUGAUGUCGUUAGGGUGGGUGCCGGCUGCAGGGAAGGAGAUCUGAGGCGGCGAAAGACGGUCAGGAGUCAUGAUGUCUGGUUCGGUGGAUGCUUCUGUCGAUGGAGCAGCUCAGGUGAGGUGGACGACGUCGCGGCAGGAGCAGGAUAAACCACACAAAGUUCCCUUCGACAUCUACCUGUAACUGAAGUAAUUAUGUAAGGGCUCAUUUGGCUUGCAUGAUUCUAAAAACGCAAGGAUAGGAAAAACAUCGGGACAGGAUAGGAAUGCACAUGGUAAAUAGAGCAUUUGUAAACACACCAUUACUGUCAACUUGGGUGUUUGGUUUACAGGAAUUGGAAGAGAAGAGGGAUGCAAAGAAAUAUGGCCAAAAUAAAGUGAAACCAUAUGAAAGCGUGUACAGUUAGAAUGUUAUUCUGCCACUAAUGCACUUGGUCUUGUUUUCAUGCAUAGGAUUGUGAAAAGUAGGUCCAGGUGGAUGUUUUGCUUCAUUCCUUUCAACAAAAUGCAUGAAUAAUUGAAUAGUAGAGUGCCAUUGGAAAAUUCCCUAUUGCUAUGUUUUUCUGUUGAACCAAAAUAGCCCUAAUGGAUCGACAUGAAUGUAUAGUAAUAAGUGAUGCAACAAGUGUACAACCUCUUUGCCGUAGUCGUGUCGACCUCAGCAUCAUUGGGUUGGUCGCUGAAGCAGUUGAGGCACAGGUGGCUGUUGGAGGUGUGGAGGAAGAUCUGAGGAAUCUGUAGACGGUCUCCAGGGCACUGCUCUAUUGUGAUGGAUCGUUCUGUCGUUGGAGCAGCUCCGGUGAGCCGUAAGACGUCAAGGCUGAAGCAGCACAAGACAAACAUCAUCAAUCUCAAGUGGGAUUCUAAUAGCAUCUCCAAUAGAUGAUGUAAAAUAUAUGUAAAAUUUACAUCACCAAAAACCACCUGACUACAACAAAUGAGGUAAAAGUUGUUGACUCUAAACUUAACUGUCGAAACUGAAAUUUACAGUGGAAUCUGAAUGUUACUAUUGAAAUUGAACGCAAUGGUAGCAGAGAGGAACUUGACAUGUAGUUUAGGGAGGGCCUGUAGUUCAUCUUCAACCUGCACCCCCCUAAGCCGCCAGCCACCACCGGUCGAACCGCCGGCCCGAGCACCGCCUCGCCGCCCGAAAACAACUCCCCACCGCCGGUCCGCUGCCGCCCCGUCCAGCCCUCUAGGCCCCCCACCCUCCACCCUGAACCCUAAGAUAGAUAGUGGGGUAUGCUACCUCUUGAGCAUGCGUUGGUUUUUCCCUUGAAGAGGAAAGGGUGAUGCAGCAAAGUAGCGUAAGUAUUUCCCUUAGUUUUUGAGAACCAAGGUAUCAAUCCAGUAGGAGGCUCCUCCCAAGUCCCACGCACCUACACAAACAAACAAGAACCUCACAACCAACACGAUAAAGGGGUUGUCAAUCCCUUCACAGAAACUUGCGAAAGUGAUAUCUGAUAGAGAUAAUAUGAUAAGAUAAAUAUUUUUGGUAUUUUUAUGAUAUAGAUUGGAAAGUAAAAGAUGCAAAUAAAAGUAGAUGGAAAACUUAUAUGAUAAAAGAUAGACCCGGGGGCCAUAGGUUUCACUAGUUCUCAAGAUAGCAUAAGUAUUACAGUGGGUGACAAAUUACUGUCGAGCAAUUGAUAGAAAAGUGCAUAGUUAUGAGAAUAUCUAGGCAUGAUCAUGUAUAUAGGCAUCACGUCCGCAACAAGUAGAUCGAAACGAUUCUGCAUCCACUACUAUUACUCCAUGCAUCGACCGUCUCCUGCCUGCAUCUAGAGUAUUAAGUUCAUAAGAACAGAGUAAUGCAUUAAGCAAGAUGACAUGAUGUAGAGGGAUAAACUCAUGCAAUAUGAUAUAAACCCCAUCUUUUUAUCCUCGAUGGCAACAAUACAAUAUGUGCCUUGCUGCCCCUGUUGUCACUGGGAAAGGACACCGCAAGAUUGAACCCAAAGCUAAGCACUUAUCCCAUGGCAAGAAAGAUCAAUCUAGUAGGCCAAACCAAACUGAUAAUUCGAAGAGACUUGCAAAGAUAACCAAUCAUACAUAAAAGAAUUCAGAGGAGAUUCAAAUAUUUCUCAUAGAUAAACUUGAUCAUAAAUCCACAAUUCAUCGGAUCUCGACAAACACACCACAAAAAGAGUUAUAUCAAAUAGAUCUCCAAGAAUAGUAAGGAGAACUUUGUAUUGAGAAUCAAAGAGAGAGAAGAAGCCAUCUAGCUAAUAACUAUGGACCCGAAGGUCUGUGGUAAACUACUCGCAACUCAUCAGAGAGGCCUUGGUGGUGAUGGAGAGGCCCUCCAUGGUCGAUUCCCCCUCCGGUGGAGCGCCGGCGAAGGCUCCAAGAUGGGAUCUCACGGAUAUAUAAGGUUGCGACGGUGGAAAUAGUUUUUCGUGGUGCUCCUGGAUGUUUUCGGGGUCCGUGGAUAUAUAUAGGAUGAAGAAGUAGGUCGGUGGACGGUCGAGGGGCCCACGAGGGUGGGGGUGUCGUGGUUCUAAGUCUGACUGUAGUGUUGGGGUAGGUAUGGAGAGGCAAGAUCCUAGCUAUGGAGUAGUUGUAUACGCAAGGGAUUUACGAGUUCAGGCCCUUCUCAGAGGAAGUAACAGCCCUACGUAUCGGAGCCCGAAGGCGGUCGACUGGAUUAUAUGCUUAUGACUUAUAGGGGUGCGAACCCUUUACACUGAGGAGGGGGGUGGCUUAUAUAGAGUUCGCCAGACCCCUCCGGUCCUCAGUUAUGUAGGGUUUAAGGUACAUUAAGAUCUGGCGUUACUGGUAACGCCACAAGUAAAGUGCUAUGAUGAUCAUAAAAGCUACUCAAUGACCGGCCGUUUGCAUACAGAGUGACUUUAGAUCCCCCAGCCGUCGAGUGGUUGGCUUCAUGGUCGAGUGGUUGGCUUCGUGGUCGAGUGUCUUCGAGUCUGUCGAGUGUAACACUUCUGAGUCGAUUGAAAGGUGGUUUCUUCUAGAGAAGUCCUUGGGUAGGGUAGUUUGGACAUGUCCAUGACCCUACCCUAGGUACAUAGCUUCAUCAUU
RNAcentral lists this long non-coding RNA (17814 nucleotides) under Triticum aestivum (bread wheat). Its description in RNAcentral is "long non-coding RNA (TAES_LNC009333)". The record is from RNAcentral. Lineage: Eukaryota; Viridiplantae; Streptophyta; Magnoliopsida; Poales; Poaceae.